UUUCCUUGGCAGAGUUUCUCGAUCUUCUAGAGAGUUCUCUCAACUACUCUCUUUUUCUCUCUUCUUUCUCUCACUAUAUCCUUCAUGUUCUUCAGCUUAAUCUUCACGUUUUCAUGGUAUCAGAGCCGGAUGAUCUUCGGAUCCUUCUUGGUUGCGUGUGAUCGAUCAUGUUCGAAGCUUUUGCUGAAGUUGUUUUAUGGUUACCAGUGAGAGAUACUGUUUGGAGAUGUUUCAACGAAUGUUGAGCGGAUAAUCGGAACUUUCCUGUUAUUCAAGGUUCCGAUCUUGUAUCAGUGGGUGUUUUGGGUAAUUUUCCAGUAUCCCAGGCUUUAUUCCGACGAGUUUUUCAAAUUCUAGGAUUUUCUGAUUUUCGGACCUAGAGAUUUGAUGUUAUCCGAUGACUUUGUCUUCGCUUGAUAGACGUGUUGGGUAACUUUCCGACGUCUGUGACCUUAUUCUGGUGAGUUUCAGAACCUACGGCUUCCGGUGUUGGACCUGGGGUUUUAUCUGACGUUUUGGGUAACUUUCCGACGUCUGUGACCUUAUUCCGGUGAGUUUCAGAACCUACAGUGUCCGGUGUUAGACCUAGAGUUUUCUCUGUUGAUUGAAGGCCAAUCUUCUCCGAUCGCGAAGAAGGAGGGUAACUCUGUCCUUAUUUUGAGUAUUGUAUGCUUUGUAUGUGAACUCUGGUUCCAUUAUAUUUUGCUUGCCGAAACUGUUUUCCUUUCAAACUGGUUCAUUAAUCAUGGCUUCUAAUACGAAUGCUAGUACCUCCUUGGUAGCUCUACCAGCCCCCUUUUUGUCUACUCCUCUGAUGUCCCUGGGGUCUCUCUUGUGCCCACUCCAUUCUCGGGCAGUGGUUAUGGGGGUUGGAGGAGGAAAAUGAUUGUCGCAUUAUCUGCUAAAAACAAAAUUGGUUUUGUUGAUGGCACAUGCUCCCGGCAAGUCACUAAUGUGGCUCAACAAAGGUUAUGGGACAGAUUCAAUAAUAUGGUGAUUUCCUGGUUAACUGUCUCCCUCUCCCCUCAAAUUGCUGAAAGUGUGCAGUACUCUGAUACUGCACAGAGUAUAUGGUCCCAACUUCAGGCCAGAUAUGGCACUGCAAAUAGGACC
RNAcentral lists this long non-coding RNA (1113 nucleotides) under Nicotiana benthamiana. RNAcentral describes it as "long non-coding RNA (NBEN_LNC013731)". Lineage: Eukaryota; Viridiplantae; Streptophyta; Magnoliopsida; Solanales; Solanaceae. The record is from RNAcentral.